RNAcentral lists this ribosomal RNA (795 nucleotides) under uncultured bacterium. RNAcentral's name for it is "bacterial SSU rRNA". It matches the Rfam family "Bacterial small subunit ribosomal RNA", at positions 60 to 847 of the family's 1533-position model. The record is from RNAcentral.
AGUCGAGGGGCAGCAUGGUCUUAGCUUGCUAAGGCCGAUGGCGACCGGCGCACGGGUGAGUAACACGUAUCCAACCUGCCGUCUACUCUUGGACAGCCUUCUGAAAGGAAGAUUAAUACAAGAUGGCAUCAUGAGUCCGCAUGUUCACAUGAUUAAAGGUAUUCCGGUAGACGAUGGGGAUGCGUUCCAUUAGAUAGUAGGCGGGGUAACGGCCCACCUAGUCUUCGAUGGAUAGGGGUUCUGAGAGGAAGGUCCCCCACAUUGGAACUGAGACACGGUCCAAACUCCUACGGGAGGCAGCAGUGAGGGAUAUUGGUCAAUGGGCGAGAGCCUGAACCAGCCAAGUAGCGUGAAGGAUGACUGCCCUAUGGGUUGUAAACUUCUUUUAUAAAGGAAUAAAGUCGGGUAUGGAUACCCGUUUGCAUGUACUUUAUGAAUAAGGAUCGGCUAACUCCGUGCCAGCAGCCGCGGUAAUACGGAGGAUUCGAGCGUUAUCCGGAUUUAUUGGGUUUAAAGGGAGCGCAGAUGGAUGUUUAAGUCAGUUGUGAAAGUUUGCGGCUCAACCGUAAAAUUGCAGUUGAUACUGGAUAUCUUGAGUGCAGUUGAGGCAGGCGGAAUUCGUGGUGUAGCGGUGAAAUGCUUAGAUAUCACGAAGAACUCCGAUUGCGAAGGCAGCCUGCUAAGCUGCAACUGACAUUGAGGCUCGAAAGUGUGGGUAUCAAACAGGAUUAGAUACCCUGGUAGUCCACACGGUAAACGAUGAAUACUCGCUGUUUGCGAUAUACUGCAAGCGGC